AUCGUUCAUCUUUAUGAAGUGCUGGAGAAUUGAUUUUUCAGCGAAAUUUCUUGUAAAGACGGAAGUAGGGAAAUAUCCCCAAGGAACGCGCC
RNAcentral lists this non-coding RNA (92 nucleotides) under Scytonema hofmannii. Its description in RNAcentral is "Glutamine-I sequence". It matches the Rfam family "Glutamine riboswitch aptamer (glnA leader)". The record is from RNAcentral. Lineage: Bacteria; Bacillati; Cyanobacteriota; Cyanophyceae; Nostocales; Scytonemataceae. RNAcentral also lists the same sequence under 1 other name.